UACAGAGGUGGCAAGCGUUGUUCGGAAUUACUGGGCGUAAAGGGCGCGUAGGCGGCCAUCUAAGUCAGACGUGAAAUCCCCCGGCUUAACCUGGGAACUGCGUCUGAUACUGGAAGGCUUGAGUAUGGGAGAGGGAUGUAGAAUUCCCGGUGUAGCGGUGAAAUGCGCAGAUAUCGGGAGGAACACCAAUGGCGAAGGCAGCUCGCUGGGACGGUACUGACGCUGAGACGCGAAAGCGUGGGGAGCAAACAGG
This 253-nucleotide ribosomal RNA is filed under the name uncultured bacterium. RNAcentral describes it as "partial 16S ribosomal RNA". It matches the Rfam family "Bacterial small subunit ribosomal RNA", at positions 524 to 776 of the family's 1533-position model. The record is from RNAcentral.